Molecule: ribosomal RNA, 460 nt
Filed under: uncultured bacterium
Lineage: Bacteria
Description: partial 16S ribosomal RNA
Rfam family: Bacterial small subunit ribosomal RNA
Source: RNAcentral
CCUAUGGGUGGCAGCAGUGAGGAAUAUUGGUCAAUGGACGCAAGUCUGAACCAGCCAUGCCGCGUGCAGGAAGACGGCUCUAUGAGUUGUAAACUGCUUUUGUACGAGGGAAAACGCAGAGACGUGUAUCUGUCUGAAAGUAUCGUACGAAUAAGAAUCGGCUAACUCCGUGCCAGCAGCCGCGGUAAUACGGAGGAUUCAAGCGUUAUCCGGAUUUAUUGGGGUUAAAGGGUGCGUAGGCGGUCGGAGAAGUUAGAGGUGAAAUCCCGAGGCUUAACUUCGGAAUUGCCUUUGAUACUGUUCGGCUAGAGAGUAGUUGAGGUAGGCGGAAUGUCUGGUGUAGCGGUGAAAUGCGUAGAGAUCAUACAGAACACCGAUUGCGAAGGCAGCUUACCAGGCUACAUCUGACGUUGAGGCACGAAAGCGUGGGGAGCAAACAGGAUUAGAUACCCGGGUAGUC